Molecule: long non-coding RNA, 199 nt
Filed under: Elaeis guineensis (African oil palm)
Lineage: Eukaryota; Viridiplantae; Streptophyta; Magnoliopsida; Arecales; Arecaceae
Description: long non-coding RNA (EGUI_LNC078828)
Source: RNAcentral
CCCCACUAGAUCUUCGUCCGAUGCCUUCUCGCAAAGCAUCCACACAACGAUCCGCGGCCAGAUCCCAGGCUCCGGCCUUACCUCCAGUUUCCCAGCCUUCUCCUCCUCCUCCGGCAAUGGCCGUCGGCGUGGGACGGCCAGACGAUCGGCUUCCGACGGAUUUUGCCAACACCAUCUUGGGAGAAUCCCGACAGGGAGC